This 97-nucleotide signal recognition particle RNA is filed under the name Thalassoporum mexicanum PCC 7367. RNAcentral describes it as "Pseudanabaena sp. PCC 7367 Bacterial small signal recognition particle RNA". It matches the Rfam family "Bacterial small signal recognition particle RNA". Rfam says of the family: The signal recognition particle (SRP) is a universally conserved ribonucleoprotein involved in the co-translational targeting of proteins to membranes. Archaeal SRP consists of a 7S RNA and homologues of the eukaryotic SRP19 and SRP54 proteins. Lineage: Bacteria; Bacillati; Cyanobacteriota; Cyanophyceae; Pseudanabaenales; Thalassoporaceae. The record is from Rfam by way of RNAcentral.
GGCCUGGAACUAUGCGAUUUCAACGCCCGAACCGUGUCAGGACUUGACCGUAGCAGCACUAAGGGAUGCUUGGGAUAGGCGUAGUCUCCGGGCUACU